RNAcentral lists this transfer RNA (72 nucleotides) under Camelus bactrianus (Bactrian camel). It matches the Rfam family "tRNA". From Rfam's summary of the family: Transfer RNA (tRNA) molecules are approximately 80 nucleotides in length. Their secondary structure includes four short double-helical elements and three loops (D, anti-codon, and T loops). Further hydrogen bonds mediate the characteristic L-shaped molecular structure. tRNAs have two regions of fundamental functional importance: the anti-codon, which is responsible for specific mRNA codon recognition, and the 3' end, to which the tRNAs corresponding amino acid is attached (by aminoacyl-tRNA synthetases). tRNAs cope with the degeneracy of the genetic code in two manners: having more than one tRNA (with a specific anti-codon) for a particular amino acid; and 'wobble' base-pairing, i.e. permitting non-standard base-pairing at the 3rd anti-codon position. RNAcentral also lists the same sequence under 3 other names. The record is from Rfam by way of RNAcentral. Lineage: Eukaryota; Metazoa; Chordata; Mammalia; Artiodactyla; Camelidae.
GAGGAUAUAGCUCAGUGGUAGAGUGCAUGCUUAGCAUGCAUGAGGUCCUGGGUUCAAUCCCCUGUACCUCCA